This 253-nucleotide ribosomal RNA is filed under the name uncultured bacterium. Its description in RNAcentral is "partial 16S ribosomal RNA". It matches the Rfam family "Bacterial small subunit ribosomal RNA", at positions 524 to 776 of the family's 1533-position model. The record is from RNAcentral.
UACGGAGGAUGCAAGCGUUAUCCGGAUUUAUUGGGCGUAAAGCGUCCGCAGGUGGUUGUUCAAGUCUGCUGUUAAAGCGCGAGGCUUAACCUUGUACAGGCAGUGGAAACUGAGCGACUAGAGUAUGGUAGGGGUAGCGGGAAUUCCCAGUGUAGCGGUGAAAUGCGUAGAUAUCAGGAGGAAUACCGAUGGCGAAGGCAGGUCUCUGGGCUGACACUGACGCUCAUGCACGAAAGCGUGGGGAGCAAACAGG